This 124-nucleotide small RNA is filed under the name Marmota monax (woodchuck). The record is from RNAcentral. Lineage: Eukaryota; Metazoa; Chordata; Mammalia; Rodentia; Sciuridae.
GCUGGGCAUGGUGGCACAUGCCUGUAAUCCCAGCUUGGGAGGCUGAGGCAAGAGGAUCAUGAGUUCAAAGCCAGCCUCAGAGAGUUAGCAAGGCCCUAAGAAAUUGUGUGAGACCCUAUCUCUA